RNAcentral lists this ribosomal RNA (1176 nucleotides) under Salmonella enterica subsp. enterica serovar Bareilly. RNAcentral describes it as "partial 23S ribosomal RNA". It matches the Rfam family "Bacterial large subunit ribosomal RNA", at positions 1 to 1207 of the family's 2925-position model. The record is from RNAcentral. Lineage: Bacteria; Pseudomonadati; Pseudomonadota; Gammaproteobacteria; Enterobacterales; Enterobacteriaceae.
GGGUUGUGAGGUUAAGCGACUAAGCGUACACGGUGGAUGCCCUGGCAGUCAGAGGCGAUGAAGGGCGUGCUAAUCUGCGAUAAGCGCCGGUAAGGUGAUAUGAACCGUUAUAACCGGCGAUACCCGAAUGGGGAAACCCAGUGUGAUUCGUCACACUAUCAUUAACUGAAUCCAUAGGUUAAUGAGGCGAACCGGGGGAACUGAAACAUCUAAGUACCCCGAGGAAAAGAAAUCAACCGAGAUUCCCCCAGUAGCGGCGAGCGAACGGGGAGGAGCCCAGAGCCUGAAUCAGCAUGUGUGUUAGUGGAAGCGUCUGGAAAGGCGCGCGAUACAGGGUGACAGCCCCGUACACAAAAGCGCAUGUGCUGUGAGCUCGAUGAGUAGGGCGGGACACGUGGUAUCCUGUCUGAAUAUGGGGGGACCAUCCUCCAAGGCUAAAUACUCCUGACUGACCGAUAGUGAACCAGUACCGUGAGGGAAAGGCGAAAAGAACCCCGGCGAGGGGAGUGAAAAAGAACCUGAAACCGUGUACGUACAAGCAGUGGGAGCACAGGUUUACCUGUGUGACUGCGUACCUUUUGUAUAAUGGGUCAGCGACUUAUAUUCUGUAGCAAGGUUAACCGUAUAGGGGAGCCGGAGGGAAACCGAGUCUUAACCGGGCGUUAAGUUGCAGGGUAUAGACCCGAAACCCGGUGAUCUAGCCAUGGGCAGGUUGAAGGUUGGGUAACACUAACUGGAGGACCGAACCGACUAAUGUUGAAAAAUUAGCGGAUGACCUGUGGCUGGGGGUGAAAGGCCAAUCAAACCGGGAGAUAGCUGGUUCUCCCCGAAAGCUAUUUAGGUAGCGCCUCGUGAAUUCAUCUCCGGGGGUAGAGCACUGUUUCGGCUAGGGGGCCAUCCCGGCUUACCAACCCGAUGCAAACUGCGAAUACCGGAGAAUGUUAUCACGGGAGACACACGGCGGGUGCUAACGUCCGUCGUGAAGAGGGAAACAACCCAGACCGCCAGCUAAGGUCCCAAAGUCAUGGUUAAGUGGGAAACGAUGUGGGAAGGCCCAGACAGCCAGGAUGUUGGCUUAGAAGCAGCCAUCAUUUAAAGAAAGCGUAAUAGCUCACUGGUCGAGUCGGCCUGCGCGGAAGAUGUAACGGGGCUAAACCAUGCACCGAAGCUGCGGCA